GUCUAUGGCUAUGCCACCUUGAAUGUGCCUGAUAUUGUCUUAACUCAGAAGCUAAGCAGGGUCAGGCAUAGCAAGUACUUAGUAUUUGAAAGGGAGAAUGUUCACUUAAUCAUCAAAAAUGUAUGCGCUGAACCUU
Neotoma lepida (desert woodrat) is the source of this 136-nucleotide non-coding RNA. NCBI's taxonomy places the organism in Eukaryota, Metazoa, Chordata, Mammalia, Rodentia, Cricetidae. The record is from Rfam.